UGUUCUAUGGUGUAAUGGUAAACCGUCAGAUUCUGGUCCUGAAAUUCAAGGUUCGAAUCCUUGUAGAACAA
This 71-nucleotide transfer RNA is filed under the name Tannerella sp. RNAcentral describes it as "tRNA-Gln". It matches the Rfam family "tRNA". Rfam says of the family: Transfer RNA (tRNA) molecules are approximately 80 nucleotides in length. Lineage: Bacteria; Pseudomonadati; Bacteroidota; Bacteroidia; Bacteroidales; Tannerellaceae. The record is from RNAcentral.